Molecule: ribosomal RNA, 514 nt
Filed under: uncultured bacterium
Lineage: Bacteria
Description: partial 16S ribosomal RNA
Rfam family: Bacterial small subunit ribosomal RNA
Source: RNAcentral
GAUGAACGCUGGCGGCGUGCCUAAUACAUGCAAGUCGAGCGAACAGAUGAGAAGCUUGCUUCUCUGAUGUUAGCGGCGGACGGGUGAGUAACACGUGGGUAACCUACCUAUAAGACUGGGAUAACUCGGGGAAACCGGGGCUAAUACCGGAUAAUAUUUUGAACCGCAUGGUUCAAUAAUGAAAGACGGUUUCGGCUGUCACUUAUAGAUGGACCCGCGCCGUAUUAGCUAGUUGGUAAGGUAACGGCUUACCAAGGCGACGAUACGUAGCCGACCUGAGAGGGUGAUCGGCCACACUGGAACUGGGACACGGUCCAGACUCCUACGGGAGGCAGCAGUAGGGAAUCUUCCGCAAUGGGCGAAAGCCUGACGGAGCAACGCCGCGUGAGUGAUGAAGUUCUUCAGAUCGUAAAACUCUGUUGUUAGGGAAGAACAAAUUUGUUAGUAACUGAACAAGUCUUGACGGUACCUAACCAGAAAGCCACGGCUAACUACGUGCCAGCCGCCGCCGUAA